Molecule: long non-coding RNA, 226 nt
Organism: Cebus imitator (Panamanian white-faced capuchin)
Lineage: Eukaryota; Metazoa; Chordata; Mammalia; Primates; Cebidae
Exons: 3
Source: RefSeq, a predicted model, not a curated record
CUGGUGAGCCAUCAUGGUUUUGUGUGUGGUGAGUUUGUUUCUACUGCACAUUUUAAUUCGGAGCUCCUGAAGGUGUCUGUGUUUAUAAGGACUGUGUUUUUGGAGCUGCUCCCUUGGAGUAAUGAAUUCAUUGCAUGUCUCUGGGAAAUUACGGAUGAACAUUUGGGCACAGGCUGGUGUCCCAGAGAAGAGAGGAGGAAGGAAAAGCAACCCGUGCAGCCUGUGG